GCCCGGUCGGCGGCAUAGCGCGCCGCCUCGAGGUCGCGCAGAAGGGCAUCCUGAACCUGGUCGCGUUGGCUGGCCAUA
RNAcentral lists this small RNA (78 nucleotides) under Sinorhizobium meliloti 2011. RNAcentral's name for it is "putative ncRNA". The record is from RNAcentral. Lineage: Bacteria; Pseudomonadati; Pseudomonadota; Alphaproteobacteria; Hyphomicrobiales; Rhizobiaceae.